This 880-nucleotide ribosomal RNA is filed under the name Brevibacterium epidermidis. RNAcentral's name for it is "bacterial SSU rRNA". It matches the Rfam family "Bacterial small subunit ribosomal RNA", at positions 10 to 897 of the family's 1533-position model. Lineage: Bacteria; Bacillati; Actinomycetota; Actinomycetes; Micrococcales; Brevibacteriaceae. The record is from RNAcentral.
GGUUUGAAUCAUGGCUCAGGACGAACGCUGGCUGCGUGCUUAACACAUGCAAGUCGAACGCUGAAGCCGACAGCUUGCUGUUGGUGGAUGAGUGGCGAACGGGUGAGUAACACGUGAGUAACCUGCCCCUGAUUUCGGGAUAAGCCUGGGAAACUGGGUCUAAUACCGGAUAUGACCAAUCUUCGCAUGAGGGUUGGUGGAAAGUUUUUCGAUCGGGGAUGGGCUCGCGGCCUAUCAGCUUGUUGGUGGGGUAAUGGCCUACCAAGGCGACGACGGGUAGCCGGCCUGAGAGGGCGACCGGCCACACUGGGACUGAGACACGGCCCAGACUCCUACGGGAGGCAGCAGUGGGGAAUAUUGCACAAUGGGGGAAACCCUGAUGCAGCGACGCAGCGUGCGGGAUGACGGCCUUCGGGUUGUAAACCGCUUUCAGCAGGGAAGAAGCGAAAGUGACGGUACCUGCAGAAGAAGUACCGGCUAACUACGUGCCAGCAGCCGCGGUAAUACGUAGGGUACGAGCGUUGUCCGGAAUUAUUGGGCGUAAAGAGCUCGUAGGUGGUUGGUCACGUCUGCUGUGGAAACGCAACGCUUAACGUUGCGCGUGCAGUGGGUACGGGCUGACUAGAGUGCAGUAGGGGAGUCUGGAAUUCCUGGUGUAGCGGUGAAAUGCGCAGAUAUCAGGAGGAACACCGGUGGCGAAGGCGGGACUCUGGGCUGUAACUGACACUGAGGAGCGAAAGCAUGGGGAGCGAACAGGAUUAGAUACCCUGGUAGUCCAUGCCGUAAACGUUGGGCACUAGGUGUGGGGGACAUUCCACGUUCUCCGCGCCGUAGCUAACGCAUUAAGUGCCCCGCCUGGGGAGUACGGUCGCAAGGCUAA